UACGGGGGGGGCAAGCGUUGUUCGGAAUUACUGGGCGUAAAGGGCUCGUAGGCGGCCAACUAAGUCAGACGGGAAAUCCCUCGGCUUAACCGGGGAACUGCGUCUGAUACUGGAUGGCUUGAGUUUGGGAGAGGGAUGCGGAAUUCCAGGUGUAGCGGUGGAAUGCGCAGAUAUCAGGAAGAACACCAACGGCGAAGGCAGCUCGCUGGGACGGUACUGACGCUGAGACGCGAAAGCGUGGGGAGCGAACAGG
This 253-nucleotide ribosomal RNA is filed under the name uncultured bacterium. Its description in RNAcentral is "partial 16S ribosomal RNA". It matches the Rfam family "Bacterial small subunit ribosomal RNA", at positions 524 to 776 of the family's 1533-position model. The record is from RNAcentral.